This 444-nucleotide ribosomal RNA is filed under the name uncultured bacterium. RNAcentral's name for it is "partial 16S ribosomal RNA". It matches the Rfam family "Bacterial small subunit ribosomal RNA", at positions 331 to 792 of the family's 1533-position model. The record is from RNAcentral.
CCAGACUCCUACGGGAGGCAGCAGUGGGGGAUAUUGCACAAUGGGGGGAACCCUGAUGCAGCGACGCCGCGUGGGUGAAGGAGCACCUCGGUGCGUAAAGCCCUAUCGGCAGGGAAGAAACAGACGGUACCUGACUAAGAAGCCCCGGCUAACUACGUGCCAGCAGCCGCGGUAAUACGUAGGGGGCAAGCGUUAUCCGGAUUCACUGGGUGUAAAGGGAGCGUAGACGGCGACGCAAGUCUGGAGUGAAAGCCCGGGGCCCAACCCCGGGACUGCUCUGGAAACUGCGGCGCUGGAGUACGGGAGGGGCAGGCGGAAUUCCUGGUGUAGCGGUGAAAUGCAUAGAUAUCGCGCAGAACCCCGAUUGCGAAGGCAGCGUGCCGUGCCGCCACUGACGCUGAGGCACGAAAGCGCGGGGAUCGAACAGGAUUAGAUACCCUGGUA